CCUUUCACCUCAGACAAAACAGAAGAAAACAGAGAAACCCCUAAGCUGUAAGCUCUGCUACCUCUUCCUCUGCUUCCUUCACGCCGAACCUCCACCACCGCCACAGCCUAAUCGCCGGAGCAGAACGAAGAAAGAAAACCAGCCCAGACAAAAGCUCACGCCUUCACCUCUGCUUCCUCUGCUUCCUUCACGCCGAACCUCCACCACCGCCACACAGAUCACAAACCCACUAAACAGUAUAGCUCGCUUAAACCCCAAAUCAGAACCAGAAUGAGUUAGGCAAAAAUUUCUGGUUUCCUCUGCUUCCUCCCUCUUCCAUCCUCUACUUCCUCUUGCCCAAAUCUCCACCACACCACACACCGAAGCAUACCGCCACACAAGUCACCGGAUUCAUUGCUAGAGCUUGUAAACAUGCCGAAGCCACCGUGAGCAUGGUGUUGCGAUGCAAAGUUACCUAAACCCAGUUUUAGAAGAUUCAAAAGAAUGUUACUUAUUGUAUGAUAGGAUUGCUGAAUCUUCUUUCAUAUUUGGCUACCAUAAAGGGUUGGUGCUCUUACUUGAACUCGGUCUUUUCUUCCUUUGCUUUUCUCUUUCUGAGUGUUAUUCAAGUGUGAAGCAACUAAUUGAAAUUUCUACUUUUGCCCUUUUUUGUUUGGUACCUGAUCUAUUCAUAGUAGUUAAUGAACCACUUGAAAGCAUUUCUGUAGAUCUUCAUUUCAGUGGGAAUACUUUGGCAGAAGUACAUGUCUAGGUGGUGCCGUAGUUGGAGCGCUACUCAGUGGUUGGAUUGCUGAUGGGGUUGGUUGACGUAGAGCUUUUCAGUUGUGUGCUUUGCCUAUGAUUGUUGGUGCUUCUAUGAGGAUCCAUUACAACAAUUCCAAGAAAGUUGAUGUACAAACCUUGUUUGUGUCCAAGAGAAUGGAUUGGGAAGCAAAUAUUUUUUGGUUGUAUAAAGUUUAAAUUGUGGUGGAUAGACAUAGAAGCAUCUUCUUUUUUGUAUUCCCAACGUAGGGUCCUCUUUUUUGUAUUUUGAACUAUAACAGGUUUUAUUCCAGAUGAAUGUAUUCUCAAUUAGAAACUCUUAUAAAAAAAAUUGUGAUAGGUUUUAUUCAGGUGAAUGUAUUCUCAAUUAGAAACUCUUAUAGAAAAAAUUGUGACAGGUUUUAUUUUAGGUAAAUGUAUUCUCAAUUAGAUACUUUUAUAGAAAAAAUU
Quercus lobata is the source of this 1212-nucleotide long non-coding RNA. RefSeq lists it as uncharacterized. Lineage: Eukaryota; Viridiplantae; Streptophyta; Magnoliopsida; Fagales; Fagaceae. The transcript has 4 exons. The record is from RefSeq and is a predicted model, not a curated record.